UUGAGAGAGAAUGUACUCCUGGUGAAGAUGCUGUGAAGAUUAUUGAAAUGACAACAAAGGAUUUGGAAUAUUGCGUGAACUAAGUUGAUAAAACAGUGGCAGGGUUUGAGAGGAUGGACUCUAAUUUCGAAAGAAAUUCUACUGUGGAUAAAAACUAUCAAACAGCAUCGAACGCUACAAAGAAAUCAUUUGUGAAGGGAAGAGUCAGUCAAUGCGGCGUACCUCAUUUUGUUAUUUUUAAGAAAUUGCCACAGCCACCCCAGCCUUCAGCAACCAUCACCCUGGUCAGUCAGCAGCCGUCAACAUCAAGAUUUGGAAGCUGAGAGAUGAGAGGUCAUGCCAACCAACAAAUAGUUAUUGAACAUCUUGAAUGGAUCUAGGACAGCCCUCAGUGCUAUAGGGAACAUAAGAAAUGUUGAAAAUCUGGGAGGUUCUUAUCCUGGUUUCACCUGGGAUCAUUCAAUAUACAAUUAUCUGAAGGUUCUACUGGGGUUGGGGGGUCCAAGUUGUCUUCACUCUGAUGUGUGGCAGUGGGUGCUGGAUGUCAGCUGAGAUGCCUCAGUUCUCCUCCACAUGAUCUCUCACCUUCUGUAUGGCUGGUGCUGAAGAUAGAUGAGUUCUAGAAAAUGACAGGUGGUUACUUCAGUCACAACUGCUGUUUCAAAUGUGAUCUACUUACUGGAGCAAAU
Camelus dromedarius (Arabian camel) is the source of this 689-nucleotide long non-coding RNA. RefSeq lists it as uncharacterized. The transcript has 4 exons. The record is from RefSeq and is a predicted model, not a curated record. NCBI's taxonomy places the organism in Eukaryota, Metazoa, Chordata, Mammalia, Artiodactyla, Camelidae.